GCCUGGCUAGCUUAGCUGGUAAAGCAUGAGGCUUUUAAUUUCAAAGUUGUGGGUUAGAGGCCCAUGUUGGGCA
Molecule: transfer RNA, 73 nt
Filed under: Mesocricetus auratus (golden hamster)
Lineage: Eukaryota; Metazoa; Chordata; Mammalia; Rodentia; Cricetidae
Rfam family: tRNA
About the family: Transfer RNA (tRNA) molecules are approximately 80 nucleotides in length.
Source: Rfam by way of RNAcentral